UGAUUUUGGAUCCGACUGAGUGGCGAACUGGUGAGUAACACGUGGGUAACCUGCCCAGAAGAAGGGGAUAACACCUGGAAACAGAUGCUAAUACCGUAUAACAACAAGAACCACAUGGUUCUUGUUUGAAAGCUGGCCUUUGUGCUAGUGCUUCUGGAUGGACCCGCGGCGUAUUAGCUAGUUGGUGAGAUAAUAGCUCACCAAGGCAAUGAUACGUAGCAGACCUGAGAGGGUAAUCUGCCACAAUGGGACUGAGACACGGCCCAUACUCCUACGGGAGGCAGCAGUAGGGAAUCUUCCACAAUGGACGAAAGUCUGAUGGAGCAACGCCGCGUGAGUGAAGAAGGGUUUCGGCUCGUAAAACUCUGUUGUUAGAGAAGAACAGCCGUGAGAGCAACUGCUCACGGUAUGACGGUAUCUAACCAGAAAGUCACGGCUAACUACGUGCCAGCAGCCGCGGUAAUACGUAGGUGGCAAACGUUGUCCGGAUUUAUUGGGCGUAAAGGGAGCGCAGGCGGUUUAUUAAGUCUGAUGUGAAAGCCUUCGGCUUAACCGGAGAAGUGCAUCGGAAACUGAUAAACUUGAGUGCAGAAAAGGAUAGUGGAACUUCAUGUGUAGCGGUGAAAUGCGUAGAUAUAUGAAGGAACACCAGUGGCGAAGGCGGCUAUCUGGUCUGUAACUGACGCUGAGGCUCGAAAGCAUGGGUAGCAAACAGGAUUAGAUACCCUGGUAGUCCAUGCCGUAAACGAUGAAUGCUAGGUGUUGGAAGG
Molecule: ribosomal RNA, 770 nt
Filed under: Fructilactobacillus sanfranciscensis
Lineage: Bacteria; Bacillati; Bacillota; Bacilli; Lactobacillales; Lactobacillaceae
Description: bacterial SSU rRNA
Rfam family: Bacterial small subunit ribosomal RNA
Source: RNAcentral